UCAGCAGCCGCGGUAAUACGGAGGGUGCAAGCGUUAUCCGGAUUCACUGGGUUUAAAGGGUGCGUAGGUGGGUUUGUAAGUCAGUGGUGAAAUCUCCGAGCUUAACUYGGAAACUGCCAUUGAUACUAUMWGUCUUGAAUUMUSUGGAGGUAAGCGGAAUAUGUCAUGUAGCGGUGAAAUGCUUAGAUAUGACAUAGAACACCAAUUGCGAAGGCAGCUUACUACRGAWAUAUUGACACUGAGGCACGAAAGCGUGGGGAUCAAACAGGAUUAGAUACCCUGGUAGUCCACGCCCUAAACGAUGGAUACUCGACAUCCGCGAUACACUGUCGGUGUCUGAGCGAAAGCAUUAAGUAUCCCACCUGGGAAGUACGAUCGCAAGAUUGAAACUCAAAGGA
This 398-nucleotide ribosomal RNA is filed under the name uncultured bacterium. RNAcentral describes it as "bacterial SSU rRNA". It matches the Rfam family "Bacterial small subunit ribosomal RNA", at positions 508 to 908 of the family's 1533-position model. The record is from RNAcentral.